This 521-nucleotide ribosomal RNA is filed under the name uncultured bacterium. RNAcentral describes it as "bacterial SSU rRNA". It matches the Rfam family "Bacterial small subunit ribosomal RNA", at positions 826 to 1350 of the family's 1533-position model. The record is from RNAcentral.
GAGGACUGACCCCUUCCGUGCCGCAGUUAACACAAUAAGUAUUCCACCUGGGGAGUACGACCGCAAGGUUGAAACUCAAAGGAAUUGACGGGGGCCCGCACAAGCAGUGGAUUAUGUGGUUUAAUUCGACGCAACGCGAAGAACCUUACCAGGACUUGACAUCCAACUAACGAAGUAGAGAUACAUUAGGUGCCCUUCGGGGAAAGUUGAGACAGGUGGUGCAUGGUUGUCGUCAGCUCGUGUCGUGAGAUGUUGGGUUAAGUCCCGCAACGAGCGCAACCCCUAUUGUUAGUUGCUACGCAAGAGCACUCUAGCAAGACUGCCGUUGACAAAACGGAGGAAGGCGGGGACGACGUCAAAUCAUCAUGCCCCUUAUGUCCUGGGCUACACACGUAAUACAAUGGUGGUUAACAGAGGGAAGCAAUACUGUGAAGUGGAGCAAAUCCCUAAAAGCCAUCUCAGUUCGGACUGCAGGCUGCAACUCGCCUGCAUGAAGCUGGAAUUGCUAGUAAUCGCGGAUC